RNAcentral lists this ribosomal RNA (1370 nucleotides) under uncultured beta proteobacterium. Its description in RNAcentral is "16S ribosomal RNA". It matches the Rfam family "Bacterial small subunit ribosomal RNA", at positions 30 to 1399 of the family's 1533-position model. Lineage: Bacteria; Pseudomonadati; Pseudomonadota; Betaproteobacteria. The record is from RNAcentral.
UGAACGCUGGCGGCAUGCCUUACACAUGCAAGUCGAACGGCAGCACGGGUGCUUGCACCUGGUGGCGAGUGGCGAACGGGUGAGUAAUACAUCGGAACAUGUCCUGUAGUGGGGGAUAGCCCGGCGAAAGCCGGAUUAAUACCGCAUACGAUCUACGGAUGAAAGCGGGGGACCUUCGGGCCUCGCGCUAUAGGGUUGGCCGAUGGCUGAUUAGCUAGUUGGUGGGGUAAAGGCCUACCAAGGCGACGAUCAGUAGCUGGUCUGAGAGGACGACCAGCCACACUGGGGCUGAGACACGGCCCAGACUCCUACGGGAGGCAGCAGUGGGGAAUUUUGGACAAUGGGCGAAAGCCUGAUCCAGCAAUGCCGCGUGUGUGAAGAAGGCCUUCGGGUUGUAAAGCACUUUUGUCCGGAAAGAAAUCCUUGGCUCUAAUACAGUCGGGGGAUGACGGUACCGGAAGAAUAAGCACCGGCUAACUACGUGCCAGCAGCCGCGGUAAUACGUAGGGUGCGAGCGUUAAUCGGAAUUACUGGGCGUAAAGCGUGCGCAGGCGGUUUGCUAAGACCGAUGUGAAAUCCCCGGGCUCAACCUGGGAACUGCAUUGGUGACUGGCAGGCUAGAGUAUGGCAGAGGGGGGUAGAAUUCCACGUGUAGCAGUGAAAUGCGUAGAGAUGUGGAGGAAUACCGAUGGCGAAGGCAGCCCCCUGGGCCAAUACUGACGCUCAUGCACGAAAGCGUGGGGAGCAAACAGGAUUAGAUACCCUGGUAGUCCACGCCCUAAACGAUGUCAACUAGUUGUUGGGGAUUCAUUUCCUUAGUAACGUAGCUAACGCGUGAAGUUGACCGCCUGGGGAGUACGGUCGCAAGAUUAAAACUCAAAGGAAUUGACGGGGACCCGCACAAGCGGUGGAUGAUGUGGAUUAACUCGAUGCAACGCGAAAAACCUUACCUACCCUUGACAUGGUCGGAAUCCCGCUGAGAGGUGGGAGUGCUCGAAAGAGAACCGGCGCACAGGUGCUGCAUGGCUGUCGUCAGCUCGUGUCGUGAGAUGUUGGGUUAAGUCCCGCAACGAGCGCAACCCUUGUCCUUAGUUGCUACGCAAGAGCACUCUAAGGAGACUGCCGGUGACAAACCGGAGGAAGGUGGGGAUGACGUCAAGUCCUCAUGGCCCUUAUGGGUAGGGCUUCACACGUCAUACAAUGGUCGGAACAGAGGGUUGCCAACCCGCGAGGGGGAGCUAAUCCCAGAAAACCGAUCGUAGUCCGGAUUGCACUCUGCAACUCGAGUGCAUGAAGCUGGAAUCGCUAGUAAUCGCGGAUCAGCAUGCCGCGGUGAAUACGUUCCCGGGUCUUGUACACACCGCCCGUCA